ACGAACGCUGGCGGCGUGCUUAACACAUGCAAGUCGAACGGAAAGGCCCUGCUUUUGUGGGGUGCUCGAGUGGCGAACGGGUGAGUAACACGUGAGUAACCUGCCCUUGACUUUGGGAUAACUUCAGGAAACUGGGGCUAAUACCGGAUAGGAGCUCCUGCUGCAUGGUGGGGGUUGGAAAGUUUCGGCGGUUGGGGAUGGACUCGAGGCUUAUCAGCUUGUUGGUGGGGUAGUGGCUUACCAAGGCUUUGACGGGUAGCCGGCCUGAGAGGGUGACCGGCCACAUUGGGGCUGAGAUACGGCCCAGACUCCUACGGGAGGCAGCAGUGGGGAAUAUUGCACAAUGGGCGGAAGCCUGAUGCAGCAACGCCGCGUGCGGGAUGACGGCCUUCGGGUUGUAAACCGCUUUCGCCUGUGACGAAGCGUGAGUGACGGUAAUGUGUAAAGAAGCACCGGCUAACUACGUG
This 467-nucleotide ribosomal RNA is filed under the name uncultured bacterium. RNAcentral's name for it is "partial 16S ribosomal RNA". It matches the Rfam family "Bacterial small subunit ribosomal RNA", at positions 29 to 507 of the family's 1533-position model. The record is from RNAcentral.